UCUCUCCCGAUCUGGAACCCUCUCGUGGCUUCAUCUCUCCCCACCCCCUCCGGCCAGCCAUGGAACCCCGAUCUGCCGCGGUGGCCGGCGCCGGCGUAGUCUGCCCCAGUGACUCGCAUGUCUCCUCUCUGCCUCUGCAGCACCCCGCUCACCCCCACCCCCCAAAAUCCGGGCCAUCUCCUAUAUUCCCCAUCUCCUCCGAUCCCGACCUCCGCAAGUACGGCAUCGACACAUCUCCUGCAUCUUCCUCUAUACCAGUCGUCGCACCACCCACCAUCACUAUCUCCUCCCUGUCUCCUCCGCCCCUCCCCCGUCUCCUUUCAGCAUUGUAAAAGGAGCACGAGGUCAAAGGGGGGCAAGAUCUGAGUGGCUGGAGGCUGAUGCCUGACGGGACACCAUGCACUAGGGACAAUCUCUGCUCGUUUAACACCAGGUGCUACCUCAAACUAACGCCUACUCCGAGCCCGCAUUCGCUAGCUACAGCCGUGGCCAACCAUUGCCCACAAUGGCUUAGGCUGAUGCCUGAUGGGACACCAUGCUUAGAUGAGGAAUGCACGCCGUGGAAGUAAUCUGUUUUACGGUUCCACCCUGAACGGCAGCGGGCUUCCGAGAUCCUCGCCUGUCGAGGUCUUGAAUCCCUACAUGGUGAUCCUAUCCUGAUAUGGAAGACAAGUACUCCAGCCGCUGAUGAAAGCGGCCCAGAAGCACACAUAAUGACGGACGUGGUUUUGAUCUAUAGAGCAUUUGAGGAUCAAAUGAGAUGGAGAUUCAGUUCUCUAAUUUCUGUUUUGGUUCAGUUUUUUCACCAUUUCUACUCAAGGUGGCGAAGGGUUUCCUUGUGAUCGGCGCGGCACCAAUCUUCUGGGUGUUAUGGAAGACCAAGAAUAAAUCCUUCUUUAAAUGUGUUCGUCCUGGAGAUCCAACCACUGUAUUUUUUUAUGUUUGUCAGUUCUUAACAUCUUGGGCAACCUUUGCAGAAAGGGGCUCUUUAAGGACUGUUGUGACAGCGAUCCCGUAAGCUGGCGAUGGUGGUGUAGGAAGUGUAUGGGCGUCGACAUAGCUGGAACCAAUAAAUUGUCGUCCUCCUUUUUGUGCUUUCCUGUGUUAGCCUAUUUGGGAUUCUAUGACCAAUUUCUUUUUUCUCUGUAUGAGAGUUGGCUGUAGUUCGUCAAUUACUGGUCGACGAUGCUGAUGCUCAUGUUACCAAGGAUAUGACGUAAGGAGUAGUUGUUUAUGCCUUUGUGUUCUGUUUGGGUGGCUUAUACCUGGCCCGUACGCUGGUGUGUGUGCAUGUGUAUACUGGAAUGAUUUCAGCAACGAUAUUGGGCAUGUAAGCUACUUUUCUUGGAAAAAAGUGCAACUACAUGGCAAACAUGACAGAUGUUAAGAUGUUUAAGAUUUUACUGAAGUGAAAGCUGAGCAAA
This is a long non-coding RNA of Triticum aestivum (bread wheat), 1424 nucleotides long. RefSeq lists it as uncharacterized. The transcript is spliced from 3 exons. NCBI's taxonomy places the organism in Eukaryota, Viridiplantae, Streptophyta, Magnoliopsida, Poales, Poaceae. The record is from RefSeq and is a predicted model, not a curated record.